This 253-nucleotide ribosomal RNA is filed under the name uncultured bacterium. Its description in RNAcentral is "partial 16S ribosomal RNA". It matches the Rfam family "Bacterial small subunit ribosomal RNA", at positions 524 to 776 of the family's 1533-position model. The record is from RNAcentral.
UACGUAGGAGGCGAGCGUUGUCCGGAUUUACUGGGCGUAAAGCGCGCGCAGGCGGCACACUAAGUACGAUGUGAAAUCUCCCUGCUCAACGGGGAGGGUGCAUAGUAAACUGGUGAGCUAGAGGACGGUAGAGGGGGGUGGAAUUGCUGGUGUAGCGGUGAAAUGCGUAGAGAUCAGCAGGAACACCCGUGGCGAAGGCGGCCCCCUGGGCCGAACCUGACGCUGAGGAGCGAAAGCAUGGGUAGCGAACAGG